AGCGUAGGCCGUCAGGCAAGCGUGUUGUGAAAUGUCGUGGCUCAACCAUGGACUUGCAGCGCGAACUGCCCGACUUGAGUGCGCGGAAAGCAGGCGGAAUUUGUGGUGUAGCGGUGAAAUGCUUAGAUAUCACGAAGAACCCCGAUUGCGAAGGCAGCCUGCUGUAGCGCUACUGAGCUGAGCUCGAAAGUGCGGUAUCGAACA
Molecule: ribosomal RNA, 204 nt
Filed under: uncultured bacterium
Lineage: Bacteria
Description: partial 16S ribosomal RNA
Rfam family: Bacterial small subunit ribosomal RNA
Source: RNAcentral